UGAGAUCUGCAGCCGAAGCGAAAGCGAGUCUUAACAGGGCGAUUAGUCGGAAGGAGUAGACGCGAAACCAAGUGAUCUACCCUUGGUCAGGUUGAAGGUUAGGUAACACUAACUGGAGGACCGAACCGAUAAGCGUUGAAAAGCUUCCGGAUGAACUGAGGGUGGGGGUGAAAGGCUAAUCAAACUUGGAGAUAGCUCGUACUCCCCGAAAUGCAUUUAGGUGCAGCCUUGGGAAUUACUACUGUGAGGUAGAGCGACUGAUAAGAUGCGAGGGCUUCACCGCCUAUCAAGUCUUGAUAAACUCCGAAUGCGCAGUAGUUCGAUCCCAGGAGUGAGGGCAUGGGUGCUAAGGUCCAUGUCCUAAAGGAGAAGAAUCCAGACCAUCAGCUAAGGUCCCGAAAUAAUUGCUAAGUUGAACUAACGAAGUCAGAUUGCUAAGACAGCUAGGAUGUUGGCUUGGAAGCAGCCAUUCAUUUAAAGAGUGCGUAACAGCUCACUAGUCGAGGAGUUUGGCGUGGAUAAUAAUCGGGCAUUAAGCAAUUUACCGAAGCUAUGGGAUCAGUAAUGAUCGGUAGGGGAGCAUUCCACUCUGCGUCGAAGGUGAAGCGUGAGCUUUGCUGGAGCGUGUGGAAAAGCAAAUGUAGGUAUAAGUAACGAUAAAGGGGGUGAGAAACCCCCUCGCCGAAAGACUAAGGUUUCCUGAUCAACGCUAAUCGGAUCAGGGUUAGUCGGGUCCUAAGGCUCAGCCGAACGGUGAGGCCGAUGGCAGAACAGGUUAAUAUUCCUGUACUACCUUAAGGAGUGACGUGGAGACGGAGGAGUGACAGCGCCGCGGACUGACGGAAUAGUCCGUUGAAGGGUGUAGAUGUUGAUUAUCCCAGGCAAAUCCAGGAUAAGAGUCGAACCUGAUAGUAUACCAAAUUCUUCGGAAUAAGGUAAUAGUGCGUGUAAGCAUACUCCCAAGAAAAUCCGCUAAACUUAAUCUUUAAGGUACCCGUACCGCAAACGGACACACGUAGUCGGGUUGAAUAUACUAAGGCGCUUGAGUGAUUCACGGUUAAGGAACUAGGCAAAUUGACCCUGUAACUUCGGGAUAAAGGGUCCCAACGAGAGUUGGGCGCAGAGAAUAGGUCCAGGCAACUGUUUAACAAAAACACAGGGCUGUGCUAAAUUGAAAGAUUACGUAUACAGCCUGACACCUGCCCGGUGCUGGAAGGUUAAGAGGAGAUGUCAUCGCAAGAGAAGCAUUGAAUUGAAGCCCCAGUAAACGGCGGCCGUAACUAUAACGGUCCUAAGGUAGCGAAAUUCCUUGUCGGGUAAGUUCCGACCUGCACGAAUGGUGUAAUGAUCUGGACACUGUCUCAACCGUGAGCUCAGUGAAAUUGUAGUAUCGGUGAAGAUGCCGAUUACCCGCGAUGGGACGAAAAGACCCCGUGAACCUUUACUAUAGCUUAACAUUGAAUUUGGGUAAUUGAUGUGUAGGAUAGGCCGGAGACUUUGAAGCAGGUACGCCAGUAUUUGUGGAGUCGCUGUUGAAAUACGGCCCUUUGAUUAUUUGAGUUCUAACUCGUAGAUGCGAGGACACUGUUUGGUGGGUAGUUUGACUGGGGUGGUCGCCUCCAAAAGUGUAACGGAGGCUUCUAAAGGUGCCCUCAGGACGAUUGGUAACCGUCCGUAGAGUGUAAUGGCAUAAGGGCGCUUGACUGGGAGACAGACAAGUCGAUCAGGUAGGAAACUAGAGCAUAGUGAUCCGGUGUUUCCGUAUGGAAGGGACAUCGCUCAAAGGAUAAAAGGUACUCCGGGGAUAACAGGCUGAUCCCUCCCAAGAGCUCAUAUCGACGGAGGGGUUUGGCACCUCGAUGUCGGCUCGUCACAUCCUGGGGCUGGAGAAGGUCCCAAGGGUUGGGCUGUUCGCCCAUUAAAGUGGCACGCGAGCUGGGUUCAGAACGUCGUGAGACAGUUCGGUCUCUAUCUAUCGUGGGCGUAUGAAAUUUGCGUGGCUCUGACACUAGUACGAGAGGACCGUGUUGGACUGACCGCUGGUUUACCAGUUGUGCCGCCAGGUGCAUUGCUGGGUAUCUAAGUCGGGA
RNAcentral lists this ribosomal RNA (2090 nucleotides) under Bacteroides ovatus. Its description in RNAcentral is "bacterial LSU rRNA". It matches the Rfam family "Bacterial large subunit ribosomal RNA", at positions 654 to 2759 of the family's 2925-position model. The record is from RNAcentral. Lineage: Bacteria; Pseudomonadati; Bacteroidota; Bacteroidia; Bacteroidales; Bacteroidaceae.